UCUCUACCGCAUACAUUAUCGACCGACGCAUGCGACACGCAUUUUGGUCCCGUGGUGGAGUUGAACAAGUAUGAACUUCGUGUCGCACUCAUCUUGGCCGAGAACAGGUGGUUUCCCACACGGUCUCUGUUGGCCAUGAGCGGCAAGUUCAAUGGCAGUUCUCCAUUUAAUCACACAUCUGGCCCGGCAAUUCAUCACUACAUAUCCGAAGGGGACUUAGAUUCCGAGGCAGGAAGUUGUGGACUUAUGACCCUGCUAAUAGGGGCUUUCUCCUUUGUGGUCUAGUGGCAAAGUCCAGUUCUCCGGAAACAUCACACAAGCUCUGUUUUAGCACCUUCCAGUUUGGUUGGUGGAAAGUUCUCUUUCUGGUUAAGGAAAUGAUGGAGUACAAAAAGGGCCACCCUGUCCUGCUGCUAGCACAAGGGACCAAAACUCGAAAUGCACCAGGGAUGCAGGGUCCCUCAACCCGCUUGUCGAGCUGUCGAAGAUCUAAAGCAAGCAGGACUUGUCGAGGAAUGUACGCGAUUUUUUAGGGUUUUGAAUAUGCGAUGGAAAAUACAUCAACUCACCACACGCUUCUAGAUCCGAAUCUAUUCUCUGUAGGUGGCCCAUUCAGUGUUGACAGGGGUUGUUAAACGGGAAUUGGAACAUGGGGUUCAAACGACAUCGUGACGAGCGCUUCAUCCCACAGCUAACUUCAGUAGCCGCGAAAAAUAGUUUAAUAUCGCACAAGGGUCAAGCGUUGCGGCUUUCUCGUACACUUG
This 764-nucleotide small RNA is filed under the name Histoplasma capsulatum. RNAcentral describes it as "hypothetical RNA". The record is from RNAcentral. RNAcentral also lists the same sequence under 1 other name. Lineage: Eukaryota; Fungi; Ascomycota; Eurotiomycetes; Onygenales; Ajellomycetaceae.